RNAcentral lists this long non-coding RNA (394 nucleotides) under Sorghum bicolor (sorghum). RNAcentral describes it as "long non-coding RNA (SBIC_LNC013534)". Lineage: Eukaryota; Viridiplantae; Streptophyta; Magnoliopsida; Poales; Poaceae. The record is from RNAcentral.
AGUGGCCAGUGACGCCCCGGCACCGCAAGUUGUCGAGACGGGGGCGCAGGUGCCGACCGACCGGGCGAGGAGGAGGUUCACCACCACCCACCGUCGAUCAGACCUGUAAGUGUUCGACUUACGUAUUUUUGGACUCCUCUUUGAUUUUUCUUUUUCUUUUUUUUGAAAUUUGACUGUUGUUCCUGUAGUGCGGCGUCGGAUGUCGACCCCGGCCAGGUUGCCAGCCAAGGAACGGGCGAGCCUGCCCGCGGUUCUGGGGAUGCGGCCCCCCAGACCACAGAGCAGCCAACAGCUGCAGUCGCGCCUGGGAGCACCGAGGGGCUCCCGAGCGCGGCACCGACCACGACAAGCAGCCCGACCAGGGCUGGAGAGGCUCCCCCAACUGACUCCUCAG